CUCAAAAGUGAGAAUUCUUCGUAAUGCAAUAUACAUAUGUAUAUUUCGAUAAUUCAAAGUGCGAUAAAGUGGACACUAACAGGACCGGAAACAGUGGUGUGAUGCAAAUUACAAAUUGGAAGGACGUAUGCAGCAUCUUACAAUUCCUUCACAGAUUAUAAAGCACCGAGUAAAUUAACUCCAGAAGCACAAUUUUAAAUAUCAUCGCAAUGAAAAUUACAAUACACCGCCGGAAAAGAACUCCGAAGCGAUUCCGCGUGGCCUCGUAUCUUCACCGCUCCAAAUCGAAUCGAAUUUGAGAGACCGACGUUGGAUAUACCAAGGACCUUCGGAAGCUCCUACUGUCUUAGCUACUCGAUUCUACAUUUUCAUCCUAAAUUUACAUCAAUCUGCGCCUCACCGAAAGCGUUUCUCAGGUACCAAGCGUUACCACGAACCGACCAACGUCACGGGUAGGUAGCAGUCAUUUCGGUCGCGAGAUUUGGUAGAAAAAAAUUGGUCGACGCGCUGGAUACCUGGAAUUGGUCGAAUCAGUCGACCGGCAAACGAAUGAAUCGGGUCGAGCUCCCUUUCCAGUAAUCCGACCAGCCGAUUUGUUUUCUCUUACAGUCGUACGCGCAGAGGUUGUAUUCGUGCCCGUUUAUUCGCAUGAAAUUCAUCGAACGUUACGCGCAUAAUAAGUAUACCGUUUCAAUGUACGCGAAGCUGGAACCUGGAAACCGGCGGUGGCGAAACACGGCCAACAGUUUUGCCGCGUGGGCGGCGAUUCCCGCGAAAUUCGCGGACAACACUUUGACCGCUGUUUAAGCAGGCGGCUGGCGCCACCUGUCGACGCGCGCUCGUACCGAGCGUCCGUCGCGCAUAUGCUUUGCGCAGAAAAAUUUGGUAAGUGGCAAAGGUCGGUAACGGGGAUUCCUAACGAGAUCGAUAGCGCGAAGAAGCCGUUGAACGUUCGCAACGAAAUUUCGCGUUGUGUGUACGAAGAAGGCCCGAACGUAGAAAAAAAAAAAAUGAAACGAGGCGAAAAAGUUGAGAAAAAAUGAAAAAUUCAAAAAAUAUCGAUAAAAAAUGGCAAAAAUUCCGCACUCGCGAGCGACACUGUUUUUUAGUGAACAUUUUUUCGGGCACGCCCGCGAGCUAUCUCCUUUCGUGACUGUUUGUUCGCCGGGUUGCAGCCUGUAGGCGUGCAUUGACCGCCCCUCUCUGUGUUUGCAACGCUGCAUUCCGAAACGGAAUGUCGCGAUUGAUGAUAUUGUUGCGCUCUAAACAAAUAUCGAGGACAUCGUCUGGGUCUGUCCGACGUAUUUGUCUGUCUGUAGGAGCUGCUAAUAAAGUUCUUUAUCGUCGUAAAUUAGAAAAAGUUCGGAGACAAACUGCACAUCAUUUUAGAUCAUUCCAGACUGGUUGC
Hylaeus volcanicus is the source of this 1408-nucleotide long non-coding RNA. RefSeq lists it as uncharacterized. The record is from RefSeq and is a predicted model, not a curated record. The transcript is spliced from 3 exons. NCBI's taxonomy places the organism in Eukaryota, Metazoa, Arthropoda, Insecta, Hymenoptera, Colletidae.